CGUUAAACCCCGGCCGGCACCUUCAGAAUUGGUGAAGUCGUGAAACUUUUAAUAAGGGUGAAAACGAGGGUUUGAAAAUGAGUCCAACAAAUGAGGCUAUUUUCCACAUUACCACCGAUCGGGAUAAAGCAGGGCUUGAUGUGAAAUACAUUAAUACAUUCAAAGGUGAGCAAACCAUAUAAAUAAACAUGGACUUUAUCCCGAUAAAACAGUGGGUUAGUUAGCACGCUUUAUUAUUCCUAAACAAGGCAGAGAAGUGUUUACUUCACUAAAGGAGAAUUUAUGCUGAAAUAUAGAGGAGACCUAAUCAACUCUCUGGAAAGUAAAAGAAGUCAACGAGUUUACCACAACAACAUGAAAGGAUUUAGGUUCAACUUCAUCUAGCACGGAAAAUUCUGGACUAUUGAAGCUGCAAGGGAUGAUGACUCUUGGAAGAUGAGCACAUUAACUCCAAUUGCAAAAUGAAGAGAAUCAUUGUGAAAGGAAAGCCCCAUUUGUGCUUUUUUGCUUUAAGAGACAUAACACCUGGAGAGGAGAUCGCAGGCUAUAAUUACGGAGAUGCUGAUUGUCCCUGGAGGAGUAAAGUAAGACUGUUGCUUCUUGUAGUAAUCGUGGAUAAUUGUGGAUGUGGACACUAAUCGUCUGGAGUCAGGUGGUACCUCUGGAGAUGAUACCCAGUG
Molecule: long non-coding RNA, 680 nt
Organism: Ictalurus punctatus (channel catfish)
Lineage: Eukaryota; Metazoa; Chordata; Actinopteri; Siluriformes; Ictaluridae
Source: Ensembl